UCUGUAGCUCAGUCGGUAGAGCAGUGGACUGAAAAUCCACGUGUCGAUGGUUCGAUUCCGUCCGG
This 65-nucleotide transfer RNA is filed under the name uncultured Eubacterium sp. It matches the Rfam family "tRNA", at positions 5 to 66 of the family's 71-position model. Rfam says of the family: Transfer RNA (tRNA) molecules are approximately 80 nucleotides in length. Their secondary structure includes four short double-helical elements and three loops (D, anti-codon, and T loops). Lineage: Bacteria; Bacillati; Bacillota; Clostridia; Eubacteriales; Eubacteriaceae. The record is from RNAcentral.